Molecule: non-coding RNA, 68 nt
Organism: Aedes albopictus (Asian tiger mosquito)
Lineage: Eukaryota; Metazoa; Arthropoda; Insecta; Diptera; Culicidae
Source: Rfam
UGCCCAGCAACUCCUAUCUCUACCUCCUCGUGGUACCAGCCGGAAACUAUGAGCAACCUUAGGGAAGA